Molecule: microRNA, 22 nt
Filed under: Ornithorhynchus anatinus (platypus)
Lineage: Eukaryota; Metazoa; Chordata; Mammalia; Monotremata; Ornithorhynchidae
Description: oan-miR-7422b-5p
Source: miRBase by way of RNAcentral
AGGGGAGUGCUGUUGGAGUGGC